Molecule: unclassified non-coding RNA, 312 nt
Filed under: plant metagenome
Description: partial contains small subunit ribosomal RNA, internal transcribed spacer 1, and 5.8S ribosomal RNA
Source: RNAcentral
UUUCCGUAGGUGAACCUGCGGAAGGAUCAUUAUUGAAUACGUUUGGUUCUGAUGCUGGCUCUUCACUGAGCAUGUGCUCGAUCCAUAACUAUUUAUCUUCUCAUGUGCACCUUUUGUAGUCUUUCAGAGCAAGUGAUAACUCUCGCAGCAAUGCGGUUUGGGGGACUUGGGCGUGAGCCCUUCCCCUGCGUUUGCUUCUUUGGAGGGCUAUGUUUUCAUAUACACUAUAAAGUUACAGAAUGUCUUUUAAAGAUUGUGCUAGUCGCAGUCAUUAAACCUAUACAACUUUCAGCAACGGAUCUCUUGGCUCUC